GUUCUUGGCGUUGCACAUUCCUCGUGAUAGUGCAGUGCCGAAGGGAAGCCGUUAAGAACGCUGCUUGGGGAGUACGAUCGCAAGAUUGAAACUUAAAGGAAUUGGCGGGGGAGCACCACAAGCCGUGGAUGCUGCGGUUCAAUUGGACUCAACGCCGGAAACAUUACCAGAAGAGACAGCAGGAUGAUGCUCAAGCUGAAGACUUUAGCAGACAAGCUGAGAGGUAUUGCAUGGCCAGCGCCAGUUCGUGCCGUGAGGUGUCAGGUUAAGUCCUGCAACGAACGAGAUCCCUGUGUACAGUUGCAAACCUAGAAGUGAUUUUGGGUGCACUCUGUACAGACUGCCCGCGUGAAGUGGGAGGAAGGAAGGGGCGACGCUAGGUCCGUAUGGUCCGAAUCUUCUGGGCCACACGUGGCAUACAAUGGUUGGGACAGUGCGUUGCAACUCCGAAAGGAGAAGCUAAUCGAUAAACCCAACCUAAGUUCGGAUCGAGGGCUGCAACUCGCCCUCGUGAAGCUGGAAUGGCUAGUAAUCGCGUGUCAUCAUCGCGCGGUGAAUAUGUCCACGCUCCUUGCACACACCGCCCG
RNAcentral lists this ribosomal RNA (587 nucleotides) under uncultured archaeon. Its description in RNAcentral is "bacterial SSU rRNA". It matches the Rfam family "Archaeal small subunit ribosomal RNA", at positions 764 to 1352 of the family's 1478-position model. The record is from RNAcentral.